UGUUCUGUAAUGACGAUUGUAUGAAAAACCCGUCUUGGAUUCGUACAGUCUGAUGUGAACA
Regulatory RNA element from Clonorchis sinensis, 61 nucleotides. It matches the Rfam family "Selenocysteine insertion sequence 1". Rfam says of the family: The incorporation of selenocysteine into a protein sequence is directed by an in-frame UGA codon (usually a stop codon) within the coding region of the mRNA. Selenoprotein mRNAs contain a conserved secondary structure in the 3' UTR that is required for the distinction of UGA stop from UGA selenocysteine. NCBI's taxonomy places the organism in Eukaryota, Metazoa, Platyhelminthes, Trematoda, Opisthorchiida, Opisthorchiidae. The record is from Rfam.